GACGAACGUUGGCGGCGUGCUUAAUACAUGCAAGUCAACUGAAGCAGUGGUAGCAAUAUCGCUGUGGAGGUGGCGCACGGGCGAGUAACACGUAGGUAAUCUGCCUUCAGGUCUGGCAUAACUCCGUGAAACCGGGGCUAAUAGCAGAUGAUGCAGCGGCUCGACAUCGAGACAGUUGUUAAAGCUAUGGCGCCUGAAAAUGUGCCUGCGUCUGAUUAGCUAGUUGGCGGGGUAACGGCCCACCAAGGAAACGAUCAGUAGCUGGUCUGAGAGGAUGAUCAGCCACUCAGGAACUGAGACAUGUACCAGACUACUACGGGUGGCAGCAGGAAGGCAUAUUGCUCAAUGGGGGAAAUCCUAAAGCAGCAUCGCCGCGUGAGGUACGAUGAGCUUUAGCUUGUAAACCUAUGUAGUGAGAGAACUGAAACCAAAGCUUAGGGUCAUGAUGGUAUCUCAAAAGUAAGCCCCGGCUAACUACGUG
Molecule: ribosomal RNA, 481 nt
Filed under: uncultured bacterium
Lineage: Bacteria
Description: partial 16S ribosomal RNA
Rfam family: Bacterial small subunit ribosomal RNA
Source: RNAcentral